UAGGGAAUCUUCGGCAAUGGACGAAAGUCUGACCGAGCAACGCCGCGUGAGUGAAGAAGGUUUUCGGAUCGUAAAACUCUGUUGUUAGAGAAGAACAAGGACGUUAGUAACUGAACGUCCCCUGACGGUAUCUAACCAGAAAGCCACGGCUAACUACGUGCCAGCAGCCGCGGUAAUACGUAGGUGGCAAGUGUUGUCCGGAUUUAUUGGGCGUAAAGCGAGCGCAGGCGGUUUAGUAAGUCUGAUGUGAAAGCCACCGGCUCAACCGGGGAGGGUCAUUGGAAACUGGUCGACUUGAGUGCAGAAGUAGAGAGUGGAAUUCCAUGUGUAGCGGUGAAAUGCGUAGAUAAAUGGAGGAACACCAGUGGCGAAGGCGGCUCUCUAAUCUGUAAAUGACGAUGAGGCUCGAAAGCGUGGGGCGCAAACAGG
This 429-nucleotide ribosomal RNA is filed under the name Gemmatimonadota bacterium. RNAcentral describes it as "Gemmatimonadetes bacterium partial 16S ribosomal RNA". It matches the Rfam family "Bacterial small subunit ribosomal RNA", at positions 355 to 776 of the family's 1533-position model. The record is from RNAcentral. Lineage: Bacteria; Pseudomonadati; Gemmatimonadota.